GACGUAGGGGGCGAGCGUUGUCCGGAUUCAUUGGGCGUAAAGCGCGCGCAGGCGGCCCGGUAAGUCGGAUGUGAAAUCUCACGGCUCAACCGUGAAACUGCAUUCGAUACUGUCGGGCUAGAGGCAGGUAGGGGAGAUCGGAAUUCCUGGUGUAGCGGUGGAAUGCGCAGAUAUCAGGAGGAACACCAAUAGCGAAGGCAGCUCGCUGGGACGGUACUGACGCUAAGGCGCGAAAGCGUGGGGAGCGAACAGG
This 253-nucleotide ribosomal RNA is filed under the name uncultured bacterium. RNAcentral's name for it is "partial 16S ribosomal RNA". It matches the Rfam family "Bacterial small subunit ribosomal RNA", at positions 524 to 776 of the family's 1533-position model. The record is from RNAcentral.